This 253-nucleotide ribosomal RNA is filed under the name uncultured bacterium. Its description in RNAcentral is "partial 16S ribosomal RNA". It matches the Rfam family "Bacterial small subunit ribosomal RNA", at positions 524 to 776 of the family's 1533-position model. The record is from RNAcentral.
UACGUAGGGUGCAAGCGUUGUCCGGAAUUAUUGGGCGUAAAGAGCUCGUAGGCGGUUUGUCGCGUCGAAUGUGAAAACCCGGGGCUCAACCCCGGGCCUGCAUUCGAUACGGGCAGACUUGAGUACUGCAGGGGAGACUGGAAUUCCUGGUGUAGCGGUGGAAUGCGCAGAUAUCAGGAGGAACACCGGUGGCGAAGGCGGGUCUCUGGGCAGUAACUGACGCUGAGGAGCGAAAGCGUGGGGAGCGAACAGG